GGCCGCCUAUAAGAAAAGUGGGACACACCUGAGAGCAGAUCUGCAACGGAAGCCAAGCGUUGCCCAUAAGCUGGCCGUCAAAACGAUCGACAUUUACAUACGAGAUUCGUUUGAGAAAUGGGAAGCAAACAAAACGCUGAAAUUUUCAAAUUUGAGAUUUGGUAGCUGCACAUAACAUUAACAACAAGUUUUUUAAUUCGCUUGGGCCAUGAAUCUGUUUGACUGUCUGACUGUUUGACUUGCGUCUCUUGUUUGCGCUUGGCCUGCGAAUGAACCAACCGCGGGCAGAGAGACUCUGCCCCGACCAACCCGCCAGAUAAUAAAUCUACUACCCAAUAUUUGGACAGCGCAGAAAACACAGCUUGCAAUUUACUCCACGACACAACUCAUCACAGACCAAAGACACUGCCGGAUAAGCAAAUUAAAAUAUCAUCAUAAAUAAUGGGUCCUACUGUGAGGAAUAAUGAAGCGUUCCGGGAGUGUGUACAACUAUAUACUAAGCAUGGGGAAACAAGUUAUAAGAAGAUGAGCACGCAGAGCGUUAAGAGGUAUUUGGUUUCAGUAUGUUCUUUAUUUAAAUAAUAUUCAUUUGGCGAUGUAACUUCCGCAUUUAUAUUCAAAAUUUAUUGCAUUUUCGGAACUGAUCAAUAAACUGUUUAAAUGCUA
This is a non-coding RNA of Drosophila virilis, 666 nucleotides long. The record is from RefSeq and is a predicted model, not a curated record. Lineage: Eukaryota; Metazoa; Arthropoda; Insecta; Diptera; Drosophilidae.